Long non-coding RNA from Belonocnema kinseyi, 376 nucleotides. RefSeq lists it as uncharacterized. The transcript is spliced from 3 exons. The record is from RefSeq and is a predicted model, not a curated record. NCBI's taxonomy places the organism in Eukaryota, Metazoa, Arthropoda, Insecta, Hymenoptera, Cynipidae.
UAUACAUAAAUGUAUAUUUCUAUUCCGUGAUUUACAUUUUUCGAUUCAUUCAUAGUGAUACAAAGAAAACAAUCAAUCAAGAAAAUACUGCUGUUUUUUACAGUGCAGUGUACGAAUUUACAAGUCCUCCUGCCGAAAUGAAAAGAGAUGUAGAACCAUUAGUUGCUCGCGUUAGAAGCAAGUGGAAAAAUAAUAAUAAAGAAAAUGUGAGUCCUCUUAGUAGUCCAAAUACUUCGAUGUCGGAAAAAUAAUGAAGUGCCUAUUCUUCAGCAACAGGCUUUCAAUUACCAUCUUUGAUUGACCUGACGGGCCCUUUACUUGAAGCUGAGCAGAGAAGAGUGCCAACUGACGUAUUGCAACAAAUACAAAAUGUCUC